Molecule: microRNA precursor, 111 nt
Filed under: Anopheles sinensis
Lineage: Eukaryota; Metazoa; Arthropoda; Insecta; Diptera; Culicidae
Description: microRNA MIR158
Source: RNAcentral
UUGUGUCAUCAGGCCUCUGGCCUGUGUAAAUUUGGGACGAUUUGGGACGACGUCCCAAUUCGUCCCAAAAUCGUCCCAAAUUUACACAGGCCAGAGGCCUGGUGACACAAC